GACGAACGCUGGCGGCAUGCCUAAUACAUGCAAGUCGAGCGAACAGAUGAAGUGCUUGCCCUUCUGAUGUUAGCGGCGAACGGGUGAGUAACACGUAAGGAAUCUACCUAUAAGCGGGGGAUAACAUUCGGAAACGGGUGCUAAUACCGCAUAAUAUCUUCUUCCCCAUGGAAGAAGAUUGAAAGACGGCUCUGCUGUCCCUUAUCGCUGACCUUGCGGUGCAUUAGUUAGUUGGUGGGGUAACGGCCUACCAAGACGAUGAUGCAUAGCCGACCUGAGAGGGUGAUCGGCCACAUUGGGACUGAGACACGGCCCAAACUCCUACGGGAGGCAGCAGUAGGGAAUCUUCCGCAAUGGGCGAAAGCCUGACGGAGCAAUGCCGCGUGAGUGAAGAAGGCCUUCGGGUCGUAAAACUCUGUUAUAAGAGAAGAACAAAUUGUAGAGUAACUGCUACAGUCUUGACGGUAUCUUAUCAGAAAGCCACGGCUAACUACGUGCCAGCCGCCGCAGUAA
RNAcentral lists this ribosomal RNA (513 nucleotides) under uncultured bacterium. RNAcentral's name for it is "partial 16S ribosomal RNA". It matches the Rfam family "Bacterial small subunit ribosomal RNA", at positions 28 to 523 of the family's 1533-position model. The record is from RNAcentral.